Molecule: ribosomal RNA, 253 nt
Filed under: uncultured bacterium
Lineage: Bacteria
Description: partial 16S ribosomal RNA
Rfam family: Bacterial small subunit ribosomal RNA
Source: RNAcentral
UACGGGGGGAGCAAGCGUUGUUCGGAUUUAUUGGGCGUAAAGAGCUCGUAGGCGGUUUGUUGCGUCGGCUGUGAAAUCCCGAGGCUCAACCUCGGGUCUGCAGUCGAUACGAGCAAACUAGAGUGUUGCAGGGGAGACUGGAAUUCCUGGUGUAGCGGUGAAAUGCGCAGAUAUCAGGAGGAACACCGGUGGCGAAGGCGGGUCUCUGGGCAACAACUGACGCUGAGGAGCGAAAGCGUGGGGAGCGAACAGG